AACGCUGGCGGCGUGCCUAAUACAUGCAGUCGAGCGGACAGAUGGGAGCUUGCUCCCUGAUGUUAGCGGCGGACGGGUGAGUAACACGUGGGUAACCUGCCUGUAAGACUGGGAUAACUCCGGGAAACCGGGGCUAAUACCGGAUGGUUGUUUGAACCGCAUGGUUCAAACAUAAAAGGUGGCUUCGGCUACCACUUACAGAUGGACCCGCGGCGCAUUAGCUAGUUGGUGAGGUAAUGGCUCACCAAGGCAACGAUGCGUAGCCGACCUGAGAGGGUGAUCGGCCACACUGGGACUGAGACACGGCCCAGACUCCUACGGGAGGCAGCAGUAGGGAAUCUUCCGCAAUGGACGAAAGUCUGACGGAGCAACGCCGCGUGAGUGAUGAAAGUUUUCGGAUCGUAAAGCUCUGUUGUUAGGGAAAAACAAGUACCGUUCGAAUAGGGCGGUACCUUGACGGUACCUAACCAGAAAGCCACGGCUAACUACGUGCCAGCAGCCGCGGUAAUACGUAGGUGGCAAGCGUUGUCCGGAAUUAUUGGGCGUAAAGGGCUCGCAGGCGGUUUCUUAAGUCUGAUGUGAAAGCCCCCGGCUCAACCGGGGAGGGUCAUUGGAAACUGGGGAACUUGAGUGCAGAAAAGGAGAGUGGAAUUCCACGUGUAGCGGUGAAAUGCGUAGAGAUGUGGAGGAACACCAGUGGCGAAAGCGACUCUCUGGUCUGUAACUGACGCUGAGGAGCGAAAGCGUGGGGAGCGAACAGGAUUAGAUACCCUGGUAGUCCACGCCGUAAACGAUGAGUGCUAAGUGUUAGGGGGUUUCCGCCCCUUAGUGCUGCAGCUAACGCAUUAAGCACUCCGCCUGGGGAGUACGGUCGCAAGACUGAAACUCAAAGGAAUUGACGGGGGCCCGCACAAGCGGUGGAGCAUGUGGUUUAAUUCGAAACAACGCGAAAAACCUUACCAGGUCUUGACAUCCUCUGACAAUCCUAGAGAUAGGACGUCCCCUUCGGGGGCAGAGUGACAGGUGGUGCAUGGUUGUCGUCAGCUCGUGUCGUGAGAUGUUGGGUUAAGUCCCGCAACGAGCGCAACCCUUGAUCUUAGUUGCCAGCAUUCAGUUGGGCACUCUAAGGUGACUGCCGGUGACAAACCGGAGGAAAGUGGGGAUGACGUCAAAUCAUCAUGCCCCUUAUGACCUGGGCUACACACGUGCUACAAUGGACAGAACAAAGGGCAGCGAAACCGCGAGGUUAAGCCAAUCCCACAAAUCUGUUCUCAGUUCGGAUCGCAGUCUGCAACUCGACUGCGUGAAACUGGAAUCGCUAGUAAUCGCGGAUCAGCAUGCCGCGGUGAAUACGUUCCCGGGCCUUGUACACACCGCCCGUCACACCACGAGAGUUUGUAACACCCGAAAUCGGUGAGGUAACCUUU
RNAcentral lists this ribosomal RNA (1427 nucleotides) under Bacillus tequilensis. RNAcentral describes it as "bacterial SSU rRNA". It matches the Rfam family "Bacterial small subunit ribosomal RNA". The record is from RNAcentral. Lineage: Bacteria; Bacillati; Bacillota; Bacilli; Caryophanales; Bacillaceae.